Small nuclear RNA from Peromyscus eremicus (cactus mouse), 104 nucleotides. The record is from RefSeq and is a predicted model, not a curated record. Lineage: Eukaryota; Metazoa; Chordata; Mammalia; Rodentia; Cricetidae.
GUGCUCACUUUGACAGCACAUAAACAUAAAAAUGAUCCAGAGAAGAUUAACAUGGUACCUGUCCACGGAUGACAUACAAAUUCAUAGUGGUUCAUAGUUUUCUA